RNAcentral lists this ribosomal RNA (438 nucleotides) under uncultured prokaryote. RNAcentral describes it as "bacterial SSU rRNA". It matches the Rfam family "Archaeal small subunit ribosomal RNA", at positions 53 to 496 of the family's 1478-position model. The record is from RNAcentral.
GCGAGUCUAUGGACUUCGGUCCAUGGCGGACGGCUCAGUAACACGUGGUUAACCUACCCUUAGGUGGGGGAUAACCUUGGGAAACUGAGGAUAAUACCCCAUAGGAAAAGAGGUUUGGAAUAAUCCUUUUCUGAAAGGACAUCCGCCUAAGGAUGGGACUGCGUCUGAUUAGGUAGUUGGUGGGGUAAUGGCCCACCAAGCCUACGAUCAGUACGGGCCUUGAGAGAGGGAGCCCGGAGAUGGGGACUGAGACACGGCCCCAGGCCCUACGGGGCGCAGCAGGCGCGAAACCUCCACAAUGCACGAAAGUGCGAUGGGGGAAUCCCAAGUGCCUAUGUAAAACAUAGGCUUUUCCCAAGUUUAAACAACUUGGGGAAUAAGGGCUGGGCAAGUCCGGUGCCAGCAGCCGCGGUAACACCGGCGGCCCAAGUGGUAGCC